This 73-nucleotide transfer RNA is filed under the name Verrucomicrobiota bacterium. Its description in RNAcentral is "tRNA-Gly". It matches the Rfam family "tRNA". From Rfam's summary of the family: Transfer RNA (tRNA) molecules are approximately 80 nucleotides in length. Their secondary structure includes four short double-helical elements and three loops (D, anti-codon, and T loops). The record is from RNAcentral. Lineage: Bacteria; Pseudomonadati; Verrucomicrobiota.
GCGGGUAUAGCUUAAAUGGCAAAGCUCCAGCCUUCCAGGCUGGCCAUGCGGGUUCGAAUCCCAGCUGCCCGCU